UGGGGAAUUUUGGACAAUGGGCGCAAGCCUGAUCCAGCCAUUCCGCGUGAGUGAAGAAGGCCUUCGGGUUGUAAAGCUCUUUCGCAAGGGAAGAAACGAUAUAGACGAAUAAUCUAUGUUAAUGACGGUACCUUGAUAAGAAGCACCGGCUAACUACGUGCCAGCAGCCGCGGUAAUACGUAGGGUGCGAGCGUUAAUCGGAAUUACUGGGCGUAAAGCGUGCGCAGGCGGUUUGUAAGUCAGAUGUGAAAUCCCCGGGCUCAACCUGGGAACUGCGUUUGAAACUACAAGGCUAGAGUAUAGGAGAGGGGGGUAGAAUUCCACGUGUAGCAGUGAAAUGCGUAGAGAUGUGGAGGAAUACCAAUGGCGAAGGCAGCCCCCUGGCCUAAUACUGACGCUCAUGCACGAAAGCGUGGGGAGCAAACAGGAUUAGAUACCCUGGUAGUCCACGCCCUAAACGAUGUCUACUAGUUGUUGGUGGAGUAAAAUCCAUUAGUAACG
This 501-nucleotide ribosomal RNA is filed under the name uncultured Pseudomonadota bacterium. RNAcentral's name for it is "bacterial SSU rRNA". It matches the Rfam family "Bacterial small subunit ribosomal RNA", at positions 355 to 848 of the family's 1533-position model. The record is from RNAcentral. Lineage: Bacteria; Pseudomonadati; Pseudomonadota.